GGCAAUUGUAACUAGUGCCUAUAAACAAUGAAAAUAAAAAUCCAACAUCAGAUCCACAAGUAAAUUCAGCUGGAUAGAUUUCAAGAAAACAUUACUAAAAUUGUUGAGAAUUUAAUUUCCAAUGGUCGCAGGCUCAUGGCAUAAGUAAUGUAACAACUCUUACACAUUUCAUUUGAAACAGAUUGCAAAAACAGAGUUCUACACAAGCAUUUAUCUAUAACACAUGGACGCACCAUAAGACCUGCCAAUAGACACAAAGACUUGUUAGUUAAACAUGCUAGUAGGCUAACACCUAACCUUCAAUUAGUUCUCUCACUUUGUUUUCAUCAAUUUAACUAAAAAUUCAUUCUCCUUUUAUUUUAAAGACAUUCAAACAAGCAAACUUACACUCUAUAUUCUAUAAAGCAUUUUGCUGCCUCACAUGCAUACGUGUCCU
Molecule: unclassified non-coding RNA, 436 nt
Filed under: Hevea brasiliensis (rubber tree)
Lineage: Eukaryota; Viridiplantae; Streptophyta; Magnoliopsida; Malpighiales; Euphorbiaceae
Source: RNAcentral